GACAGAGGCCCCGAGCGUUAGGCGGAAUCACUGGGCUUAAAGCGUGUGUAGGCGGGCCCGUAAGUGUCUUGUGAAAUCCCACGGCUCAACCGUGGAACUGCUGGGCAUACUGCGGGUCUUGGGCCAACUAGGGGCAGCCGGAACAAGCGGUGGAGCGGUGAAAUGCAUUGAGAUCGGAAAGAACACCAACGGCGAAAGCACUCUGCUGGGCCGACACUGACACUGAGAGACGAAAGCUAGGGGAGCAAAUGGG
This 253-nucleotide ribosomal RNA is filed under the name uncultured bacterium. RNAcentral describes it as "partial 16S ribosomal RNA". It matches the Rfam family "Bacterial small subunit ribosomal RNA", at positions 524 to 776 of the family's 1533-position model. The record is from RNAcentral.